Molecule: ribosomal RNA, 796 nt
Filed under: uncultured archaeon
Lineage: Archaea
Description: bacterial SSU rRNA
Rfam family: Archaeal small subunit ribosomal RNA
Source: RNAcentral
ACUGCUCAGUAACACGUGGAUAACCUGCCCUUGGGUCCGGCAUAACCCCGGGAAACUGGGGAUAAUUCCGGAUAACGCACAUAUGCUGGAAUGCUUUAUGCGUAAAAUGGAUUCGUCUGCCCAAGGAUGGGUCUGCGGCCUAUCAGGUAGUAGUGGGUGUAAUGUACCUACUAGCCAACAACGGGUACGGGUUGUGAGAGCAAGAGCCCGGAGAUGGAUUCUGAGACAUGAAUCCAGGCCCUACGGGGCGCAGCAGGCGCGAAAACUUUACAAUGCGGGAAACCGUGAUAAGGGGACACCGAGUGCCAGCAUCAUAUGCUGGCUGUCCAGGUGUGUAAAAUACACCUGUUAGCAAGGGCCGGGCAAGACCGGUGCCAGCCGCCGCGGUAACACCGGCGGCCCGAGUGGUGAUCGUGAUUAUUGGGUCUAAAGGGUCCGUAGCCGGUUUGGUCAGUCCUCCGGGAAAUCUGACGGCUCAACCGUUAGGCUUUCGGGGGAUACUGCCAGGCUUGGAACCGGGAGAGGUAAGAGGUACUACAGGGGUAGGAGUGAAAUCUUGUAAUCCCUGUGGGACCACCUGUGGCGAAGGCGUCUUACCAGAACGGGUUCGACGGUGAGGGACGAAAGCUGGGGGCACGAACCGGAUUAGAUACCCGGGUAGUCCCAGCCGUAAACGAUGCUCGCUAGGUGUCAGGCAUGGCGCGACCGUGUCUGGUGCCGCAGGGAAGCCGUGAAGCGAGCCACCUGGGAAGUACGGCCGCAAGGCUGAAACUUAAAGGAAUUGGCGGGGGAGCAC